GUAGCUUGCUAUGAUAUAACUUAGUGGCAGACGGGUGAGUAAUGUAUAGGAAUCUACCUAGUAGUACGGGAUAAUUGUUGGAAACGACAACUAAUACCGUAUACGCCCUACGGGGAAAUUUAUUGCUAUUAGAUGAGCCUAUAUUAGAUUAGCUUGUUGGUGGGGUAAUGGCCUACCAAGGCAAUGAUCUAUAGCUGAUCUGAGAGGAUGAUCAGCCACACUGGAACUGAGAUACGGUCCAG
Molecule: ribosomal RNA, 242 nt
Filed under: uncultured bacterium
Lineage: Bacteria
Description: partial 16S ribosomal RNA
Rfam family: Bacterial small subunit ribosomal RNA
Source: RNAcentral